AUACGGAGGAUCCAAGCGUUAUCCGGAUUUAUUGGGUUUAAAGGGUGCGCAGGCGGCCUUAUAAGUCAGUGGUGAAAUCUCCCGGCUCAACCGGGAAACUGCCAUUGAUACUGUAAGGCUAGAAUACAGACGAGGUAGGCGGAAUGUAGCAUGUAGCGGUGAAAUGCUUAGAUAUGCUACAGAACACCAAUCGCGAAGGCAGCUUACCAGACUGUAAUUGACGCUAAGGCACGAAAGCGUGGGGAGCGAACAGGAUUAGAAACCCUUGUAGUCC
Molecule: ribosomal RNA, 274 nt
Filed under: uncultured bacterium
Lineage: Bacteria
Description: partial 16S ribosomal RNA
Rfam family: Bacterial small subunit ribosomal RNA
Source: RNAcentral